UUGGAAGAUGCAAGGCAUUACUUCUUGCUAGCUAUAGUUUCAUGCUACUCACUGUUUCCACUUCUAUACGAGGCUCAGGAAUAUCCCAUCAAAGUGUUGUUAUUGCUAUUACAUUCCAUUUUAAUGUGGCACAGCUUUUCUGCACAAAUCACCAAGGAUGCAGCAGCUAAAGUGACUGUAUCAGCGAAGACAGGUAAACAAUUGAGUUCACUGGGAUCUUUAAGCGCCACUGUUGAAAAAGAAAGAAUCCUUAUUGGAUGGGUUGGGAAGUGUUACCUGUUUGGUCUUUUGGGUGUUGAAAUAUGGGGCCAGUUUUUGCAUCCUUACCUCCUUGGUGAUAAGCUUCCCUUUGUACCCCUUUUGCUUGUUUCAUUAUAUUGCGCGUUGGGAAUGAUUUACUCAUGGGUAUGGCAGUUGAGGUGUCUGAUGAAAUCCACCUGAUUUUUAAUACUAAGAGUG
This 459-nucleotide unclassified non-coding RNA is filed under the name Hevea brasiliensis (rubber tree). Lineage: Eukaryota; Viridiplantae; Streptophyta; Magnoliopsida; Malpighiales; Euphorbiaceae. The record is from RNAcentral.